GAGUUUGAUCCUGGCUCAGGACGUACGCUGGCGGCACGCCUAACACAUGCAAGUCGAACGCAGUAGCAAUACUGAGUGGCAAACGGGUGAGUAUAAUGUGGGAAUCUGCCUUUUGGUUUGGAAUAACACGGGGAAACUUGUGCUAAUACCGAAUAAGCCCUUACGGGGAAAGUUUUAACGCCGAAAGAUGAGCCUGCACUUGAUUAGCUAGUUGGUAAGGUAAAGGCUUACCAAGGCAACGAUCAAUAGCUGUUCUUAGAGGAAGACCAGCCACAUUGGGACUGAGACACGGCCCAGACUCCUACGGGAGGCAGCAGUGGGGAAUCUUGCACAAUGGGGGAAACCCUGAUGCAGCGAUGCCGCGUGAGUGAAGAAGGCCUUUGGGUUGUAAAACUCUUUCGUCGGGGAAGAAAAUGACUGUACCCGAAUAAGAAGGUCCGGCUAACUUCGUGCCAGCAGCCGCGGUAAUACGAAGGGACCUAGCGUAGUUCGGAAUUACUGGGCUUAAAGAGCUCGUAGGUGGUUAAAAAAGUUGAUGGUGAAAUCCCAAGGCUCAACCUUGGAACUGCCAUCAAAACUUUUUAGCUAGAGUGUGAUAGAGGUAAGUGGAAUUUCUAGUGUAGAGGUGAAAUUCGUAGAUAUUAGAAAGAACACCAAAUGCGAAGGCAACUUACUGGGUCACUACUGACACUGAGGAGCGAAAGCAUGGGUAGCGAAGAGGAUUAGAUACCCUCGUAGUCCAUGCCGUAAACGAUGUGUGCUAGACGUUGGAAAUAUAUUUUUCAGUGUCGCAGCGAAAGCAUUAAGCACACCGCCUGGGGAGUACGACCGCAAGGUUAAACUCAAUG
RNAcentral lists this ribosomal RNA (848 nucleotides) under uncultured bacterium. Its description in RNAcentral is "bacterial SSU rRNA". It matches the Rfam family "Bacterial small subunit ribosomal RNA", at positions 9 to 906 of the family's 1533-position model. The record is from RNAcentral.